Molecule: non-coding RNA, 84 nt
Organism: Podarcis lilfordi (Lilford's wall lizard)
Lineage: Eukaryota; Metazoa; Chordata; Lepidosauria; Squamata; Lacertidae
Source: the annotation of a GenBank genome assembly
GCAGAACUGGAUAGCUCAGUUGCUUAGGGAGUGGUGCUGACGAUGCAAAGGUUGCAGGUUUGAUCCCUGCAUGGGACAGCUGCA